Molecule: non-coding RNA, 80 nt
Organism: Podarcis lilfordi (Lilford's wall lizard)
Lineage: Eukaryota; Metazoa; Chordata; Lepidosauria; Squamata; Lacertidae
Source: the annotation of a GenBank genome assembly
UUCUGCUGGGUUAGCUCAGUUGGUAGAGCAUGUGAUCCUUCAUCUCAGGGUUGUGGGUUCAAGCCCCAUGUUGGGGGAAA